This 909-nucleotide ribosomal RNA is filed under the name Amanita mansehraensis. Its description in RNAcentral is "eukaryotic LSU rRNA". It matches the Rfam family "Eukaryotic large subunit ribosomal RNA", at positions 72 to 943 of the family's 3401-position model. The record is from RNAcentral. Lineage: Eukaryota; Fungi; Basidiomycota; Agaricomycetes; Agaricales; Amanitaceae.
GGAUUCCCCUAGUAACUGCGAGUGAAGCGGGAAAAGCUCAAAUUUGAAAUCUGGCAGUCUUUUUUUUCUUCUUUGGCUGUCCGAGUUGUAAUCUAGAGAAGUGCUUACCUGCACUGGACCAUGUAUAAGUCUCCUGGAAUGGAGCGUCGCAGAGGGUGAGAAUCCCGUCUUUGACAUGGACUGCCAGUGUGUUGUGGUGUGCUCUCAAAGAGUCGAGUUGUUUGGGAAUGCAGCUCUAAAUGGGUGGUAAACUCCAUCUAAAGCUAAAUAUUGGCGAGAGACCGAUAGUGAACAAGUACCGUGAGGGAAAGAUGAAAAGGACUUUGGAAAGAGAGUUAAACAGUAUGUGAAAUUGUUGAAAGGGAAACGCUUGAAGUCAGUUAUGUUGGCUAGGGAUCAACCUAGCUGUUUUUUUGCUGGGUGAAUUUCCUAGUCUGACAGGCCAACAUCAGUCUUGACUGCUGGAAAAGAGCAGAGGGAAUGUGGCACCUUUGGGUGUGUUAUAGCCUUUUGUCAUAUGUGGCAGUUGGGACUGAGGGAUGCAGCAUGCCGCGAGGCUGGGUUUCUGACCACGUUCAUGCUCAGGAUGUUGGCUUUUAAUGGCUUCAAUCGACCCGUCUUGAAACACGGACCAAGGAGUCUAACAUGCCUGCGAGUGUUUGGGUGGGGAAAACCCUUGUGCACAAUGAAAGUGAAAGUUGAGAUCCCUGUCAUGGGGAGCAUCGACGCCCGGACCUGAGCUUUUAGCAAUGGAUCCGCGGUAGAGCAUGCAUGUUGGGACCCGAAAGAUGGUGAACUAUGCCUGAAUAGGGCAAAGCCAGAGGAAACUCUGGUGGAGGCUCGUAGCGAUUCUGACGUGCAAAUCGAUCGUCAAAUUUGGGUAUAGGGGCGAAAGACUAAUCGAACCAU